UAUAAUCUGAAGCAAAUCUUUCAAAAAUUAAUGUCAUCUAACAUUGUUCAUUAAAAAUUUAUAAACAAAUUUAAAAUACGUAAUUUUAUAGUGUAAUAUAGACAGCCCUGAUAGUGUAUCAUCUUAGCUUGGCAACUGAAUAAUAUAUUCAACAGUAAUUUUAUAUGUACUUUCUCAGACAUUGUUCUGAGUUUCAAUAGAUUUGACAUUAUGUGCUACUUUUAAAAAAAUGCUUUUUUACGUAGCAGAUAUUAAUAAGCACUGGAUUUCUGUACCAAAUCUCUGUUAUGAAACAAUCCUUCCUAUGUUUGGCAACAAAUAGCACGUUGAUCUAUUACGCAUGCGCAAUCGGCAGCUUGUUACAUUAACUUCUAGGAGUCUUUGAACCAUUGUAAGCGAAAUGUCGUUCCACAAAAUUCUGUAUUUAUCGUUCGCUGAUAUAUCUCAAGAGAAGUAAGCAAAAAGAGUAAUACAAAAAUGUUUGCAUGGGGCGUGGUAAAGGAGUUGAUAUUAAGUAUAUUUUGUAUGCUGCCUUGUAAGAGUCUGAUGUUAACUGUACUUGUACGUAUAUGUAUCUCGAAUCCGAUUGAUAACGAGGUUCAAAUAUAGACGUACGAAUUAUCAACCCAUUUGAUUAUUACUUGCCAAUUUUGCCCAACAUGUAAAAAUAUACAUGUAUAUAUGUGAUACGUAUACGUCUUAUAACAGUGUAUCUGUGCAUGUAUCUACGUCCCGCAUUUUCAACACACGUGUCUCGCAACGCAAUUACAUAUAUUUACACAUCUGUAUUUAUUUACGAUUGUCAUGAAACACAUUUCUUCUAAUCUUAAUUACUUAUCAUGCACUACAAAUUAAUUCCUUUUUGUUAAAAAAGAAUAUUCAUUAUAUUGAAGUACAUAAGAGGCAUUCUGUUUUUCUAAAAAAAACAAGGAAAAAGAUAAGGAUCAUGGAGUCAGAGGAAUUUUAUAAAUUCAUACAGUAGGAUUUACAAUGGCUUUUAAACUUUGUUUCACCUUAUCGACGAUUAUUAUGACGAUUAUUAUUAUGAUUCAACUCAGAAAUAUAGUGUGUCUUUCAAAGUUGUCAAUAAAAAAAUGAUUCAACCAUCGCUUUGAAGUAAAAUAUUUGAAGUAAAUUCAACUUUUAUGUUAAUUUGUAACGAUAAAAGGAAAUACGAAUGUUUUCUAUUGCAUCCACAU
Molecule: long non-coding RNA, 1199 nt
Organism: Bombus terrestris (buff-tailed bumblebee)
Lineage: Eukaryota; Metazoa; Arthropoda; Insecta; Hymenoptera; Apidae
Exons: 2
Source: RefSeq, a predicted model, not a curated record